AUGGCGGUGAGAUGCUUCUGUUGCCUGAGGGGGGAAGAGACGAGGAGCCCACCACCGGCUUGCCACGAGCGAGCUAUUGGCCUGCUGUUGGAGCCUGAGAAGGGGAGGGUGCGGGGAGCACACCGCCAUCUUGCGGCCAGUGUGCUGCUGCUAGAGCCUGAGAGGGGGAGGAGGCAAGUAGCCCACUGCCGGCUUGUCGCCGGUUUGCCUGCUAGAUCUGGUGGCGCCGCCAAGAGUGGGUACAGCAGGGAGGAAGAGGAUCCGGAGUGGAGGCUGGACACAAGGGAUGGGGACAGGCUAUGGUUAGGAUAUGCCCCUUACUCAGUUUUUGCUGGGCCGGGCCAGGCCGUACAAGAAAGGAUCAGGGAAGCUUCUGAAAUGUAUCUAAAUUAA
Molecule: ribosomal RNA, 393 nt
Filed under: Triticum aestivum (bread wheat)
Lineage: Eukaryota; Viridiplantae; Streptophyta; Magnoliopsida; Poales; Poaceae
Description: partial small subunit ribosomal RNA
Source: RNAcentral